This 28-nucleotide ribosomal RNA is filed under the name Dicrocoelium dendriticum. RNAcentral describes it as "partial 5.8S ribosomal RNA". The record is from RNAcentral. Lineage: Eukaryota; Metazoa; Platyhelminthes; Trematoda; Plagiorchiida; Dicrocoeliidae.
UGUGGCCACGCCUGUCCGAGGGUCGGCU